This 253-nucleotide ribosomal RNA is filed under the name uncultured bacterium. RNAcentral's name for it is "partial 16S ribosomal RNA". It matches the Rfam family "Bacterial small subunit ribosomal RNA", at positions 524 to 776 of the family's 1533-position model. The record is from RNAcentral.
UACGAAGGGGGCUAGCGUUGCUCGGAAUCACUGGGCGUAAAGGGUGCGUAGGCGGGUCUUUAAGUCAGGGGUGAAAUCCUGGAGCUCAACUCCAGAACUGCCUUUGAUACUGAAGAUCUUGAGUGCGGGAGAGGUGAGUGGAACUGCGAGUGUAGAGGUGAAAUUCGUAGAUAUUCGGCGGAACACCAGUGGCGAAGGCGACUCACUGGCCCGAUACUGACGCUGAGGCGCGAAAGCGUGGGGAGCAAACAGG